CAGCCGCCGCGGUAAUACGGAGGGUGCAAGCGUUAAUCGGAAUUACUGGGCGUAAAGCGCACGCAGGCGGUUUGUUAAGUCAGAUGUGAAAUCCCCGAGCUUAACUUGGGAACUGCAUUUGGGACUGGCAAGCUAGAGUCUUGUAGAGGGGGGUAGAAUUCCAGGUGUAGCGGUGAAAUGCGUAGAGAUCUGGAGGAAUACCGGUGGCGAAGGCGGCCCCCUGGACAAAGACUGACGCUCAGGUGCGAAAGCGUGGGGAGCAAACAGGAUUAGAUACCCGCGUAGUCCCUGUCUCUUAUAC
RNAcentral lists this ribosomal RNA (301 nucleotides) under uncultured bacterium. RNAcentral's name for it is "partial 16S ribosomal RNA". It matches the Rfam family "Bacterial small subunit ribosomal RNA", at positions 509 to 807 of the family's 1533-position model. The record is from RNAcentral.